AAUAUUGGUCAAUGGGCGCAAGCCUGAACCAGCCACGUCGCGUGAAGGAAGACGGCCNNNCGGGUNGUAAACUUCUUUUGUAANGGCNUAAAGUGUAGUACGUGUACUAUUUUGCAUGUACCUUACGAAUAAGGAUCGGCUAACUCCGUGCCAGCAGCCGCGGUAAUACGGAGGAUCCGAGCGUUAUCCGGAUUUAUUGGGUUUAAAGGAUGCGCAGGCGGGAGAUUAAGUCGGCGGUGAAAUUUUGCAGCUCAACUGUAAAAGUGCCUUCGAAACUGGUUUCCUUGAGUGUGGAUGAAGUAGGCGGAAUUUGUGGUGUAGCGGUGAAAUGCAUAGAUAUCACGAGGAACUCCGAUUGCGCAGGCAGCCCCCUGGGAUAAUACUGACGCUCAGACACGAAAGCGUGGGGAGCAAACAGG
This 419-nucleotide ribosomal RNA is filed under the name uncultured bacterium. RNAcentral describes it as "partial 16S ribosomal RNA". It matches the Rfam family "Bacterial small subunit ribosomal RNA", at positions 360 to 776 of the family's 1533-position model. The record is from RNAcentral.